AAUUGCAUCAUCCAAUGGCUUUGGGUCCUCCUCUAUAUUUAUAAUCUGAAGACGUUUCUGCUUCCACCACACUCAGAGACGCUCUUCUUCCGAGAGAAAGAGAGAGAGAGAUAGAGAAAGAGAAAGAGAGAGAAAGAGAGAGAGAAAGAGAGAAAGAGAGAGAGAGAAAAAGAGAAAGAAAGAGAGUUCUCUAAUGGCGGCGACGAGACCAAAGAAGGGAGAAUCCACUCUUCCUUCGUCGAGAUAAGUACUUUUGUGUGUGAGAGAGAGAGACAAAGAUAAGAGAUUUAAGGGCGACGAGACCAGAGAAGAGAGAUAUAGAGAGAGCCGUGUUUGUAAGGGCGACACGUAUAUGAACAAAGCAGAGUGUUUUUGAGUCUCGUCCGUGGAUGGUUUCAAGAAGACAGUGAUGGUCUUCGUCUAACCCUAAUCAAUCAAUUACGUCUUCCUUGUCACAGAGUUUGAAGAUGAUGAUGACGAUGAUGUAUUAUGACCCAACAAGCAACAGUAGUUUGAAGAUGAUGAUGACGAUGGUGUAUUAUGACCCAACAGGCAACAGUAGUGUUUGAAGAUUUAUCUCCGAGGAGUCUCGUUGAUGGUGGGAUUGCUCUCUUCUCUACUGGAUUGGUCCAUGUUUAUUUAUUCUCUACUGGAUUGGUCCAUGUUUAUUUA
This is a non-coding RNA of Camelina sativa (false flax), 672 nucleotides long. NCBI's taxonomy places the organism in Eukaryota, Viridiplantae, Streptophyta, Magnoliopsida, Brassicales, Brassicaceae. The record is from RefSeq and is a predicted model, not a curated record.